GGAAACAAAGAACUCAAUUUCCUUUCUCUUUCUUAAAACUCUCAAACCAAACGCCCCCUUAUAAUUCAAGUCCUUAAUAGGUAGUUAACUCUAAUCUAAUCUAAGCCGAAAAAACCCUAGUUUUCUCUCUCCUCCCAUAUCUACAUCCAUGGCUGCCAGAUAAUUUCAUCACGAUAUGCUCGAAUUUUCAGUUGAAUUGAAUUGAAUCUCAGGCCAUCUGUGCCUUGCAAUCUAAUUGAUUGGUCGGUCCCUUCGCCAGAUUUACUCAACCCUCCGCCAUCGGUGGGUCUUUGCUCCGAUUUAGCCCGGGCAACAACUCUUCUCUCCCUGGGUGGAUAAGGCUGGUGAGAGAAGCUGUGAAAAAAGGAGGUGAAGAUUCGUCCGUUGCAAAGAAGCGAACGUCUGCCCAGAUCGAUGUCGCCGACAUCGACUCCGACCGCCGCCGCUGGUGGCUCAGCAACCGAAACAAGGAGACCAUAUGGCCAGAUCUGAAGCGAUUUGGAGCCAAAGCGAUUGAGCGGCCUCCUCCACCGCUGUGGGGCUGCUGUUUUAGAACUAGUUUUUUUUUUCUUUUUUCUUGUAAUUUAGUUAUCUAGUAGUCUCUCCCUGAGAUAGGGAUUCUACUAGUUUUAGGUUUCUGGUGGAUAUUUCCCUGAGAUAGGGAUCCACUAGUACCUCAUGUACCUCCAAAAAAAAAAAAAAUCAGGUCCAUCAUGUUUCUAGUUGACUAUAUAUAUCUUAAACAUUAUCUUUUUAA
Molecule: long non-coding RNA, 757 nt
Organism: Beta vulgaris subsp. vulgaris (sugar beet)
Lineage: Eukaryota; Viridiplantae; Streptophyta; Magnoliopsida; Caryophyllales; Amaranthaceae
Exons: 2
Source: RefSeq, a predicted model, not a curated record